CAUCUCUCAAAGAACACUCCAUCACUUCUCUCUCAUCUACCACUUGGUUGAAAUGAUUCCAGGUCACUUUCACAUGAGUUAUGGAACUCAACUAUAUAUAGAUGUGUCUCGGUGGAGCUAAUACUUGAGGCCAGCAAGGUAGACACGACUCUUUCAGUGAAGAAGAGCUAGAGCAUUCACAAAAAAAUGGCAUCACUCAAAGCUGAGAAACCCGUUGGCCACCAAGCACCAGGGCAGGUCAAGAAAGAGCCUGCCAAACCCAGCGAGAGCACACCCAAAGCUCCGGCCUCCAAGCCGGCCCCUAAGAAGGCUGAGCAGAAGCCACGAGAGCCUAAGAAGAAGGCAGCAGGAGCCAAGUAGAAUGAGGAUGACAAGGCAUGCGUGUGAAGGUUCCAUGAAGAUGUUAAUUCAUGCCGGUCCUCCUUGACGUUUAGCAGUAUUAUAUAUGGAAGUUGCUUGUGAUUUUAUAUCAAUGUCUGUCUUUUUAGGCUUGGCCUAAUAAAUAAAAUAUACAUAUUCCAAUAA
This is a long non-coding RNA of Quercus robur (English oak), 525 nucleotides long. RefSeq lists it as uncharacterized. The transcript has 2 exons. The record is from RefSeq and is a predicted model, not a curated record. Lineage: Eukaryota; Viridiplantae; Streptophyta; Magnoliopsida; Fagales; Fagaceae.